GGGCGCAUAGCUCAGCUGGUUAGAGCGCACGGUUCACAUCCGUGAGGUCUGGGGUUCAAGUCCCUAUGCGCCCA
This 74-nucleotide transfer RNA is filed under the name Chloroflexota bacterium. RNAcentral describes it as "Chloroflexi bacterium tRNA-Val". It matches the Rfam family "tRNA". From Rfam's summary of the family: Transfer RNA (tRNA) molecules are approximately 80 nucleotides in length. Their secondary structure includes four short double-helical elements and three loops (D, anti-codon, and T loops). Lineage: Bacteria; Bacillati; Chloroflexota. The record is from RNAcentral. RNAcentral also lists the same sequence under 2 other names.